AGUGAACGCUGGCGGCAUGCCUAACACAUGCAAGUCGAACGGCAGCACAGUAAGAUCUUGCUCUUACGGGUGGCGAGUCGCGGACGUGUGAGGAAUAUAUCCUACUCUACUCUUUCGUGUGGGUUAACGUAGGUGAACCUACUCUCAUACCGGAUACGAUCUACGGGUGAAAGCAGUGGAUCUUCUGACCUUGUGCGAUUGAAUGAGCCGAUGUUGGAUUAGCUAGUUGGCGGGGUAAAGGCCCACCAAGUCGACGAUCCGUAGCUGGUCUGAGAGGAUGGUAGGCGACACUAGAACUGGAACACGGUCAAGACUACUACGGGAGGCAGCAGUGGGGAAUGUUGGGCAAUGGGCGGAAGCAUGAUCCAGCCAUACCGCGUGGGUGGCGGAGACGUUGGGGUUGUAAAGACCUUUUUUUGGGAGAGAAAAGCAGCAGGUUGAUACCACGCGGUUCUGACGGUACCCAAUAAAUAAGCACCGGCUAACUACGUG
This 492-nucleotide ribosomal RNA is filed under the name uncultured bacterium. Its description in RNAcentral is "partial 16S ribosomal RNA". It matches the Rfam family "Bacterial small subunit ribosomal RNA", at positions 29 to 507 of the family's 1533-position model. The record is from RNAcentral.